This 456-nucleotide ribosomal RNA is filed under the name uncultured bacterium. Its description in RNAcentral is "bacterial SSU rRNA". It matches the Rfam family "Bacterial small subunit ribosomal RNA", at positions 1 to 469 of the family's 1533-position model. The record is from RNAcentral.
AUAGUUUGAUCCUGGGUCAGAUUGCACGCUGGGAGAAGGCCUAACACAUGCAAGGCGAGCGGUGGAUAGAAGCUUGCUUCUCUUGAGAGCGGCGGACGGGUGAGGAUACCUAUGAAUCUGGCUGAUAAUUGGGGAUAACUUUCGGAAACGGACGCUAAUACCGCAUACGUCCUACGGGAGAAAGCUGGGACCUUCGGGCCUUGCGCUAUCACAUGAGCCUGGUCGGAUUACCUAGUUGGUGAGGUAAUGGCUCACCCUGGCUACCAUCCUGAACUGGUGUGAGAGGAUGAUCACGCACACUGGAACUGAGACACUUGCCAGAUUCCUAGCUUAGGCACUCAUUGGCUCUAUGGGACAAUGGGCUAAAGCGUGAUCCAGCCAUGCCGCGUGUGUGAAGAAGGUCUUCCGAUUGUACAGCACUUUAAGUUGUGAGGAAGGGCAUUAACCUAAAACAUU